This 709-nucleotide ribosomal RNA is filed under the name Gordonia sputi. RNAcentral's name for it is "bacterial SSU rRNA". It matches the Rfam family "Bacterial small subunit ribosomal RNA", at positions 19 to 740 of the family's 1533-position model. The record is from RNAcentral. Lineage: Bacteria; Bacillati; Actinomycetota; Actinomycetes; Mycobacteriales; Gordoniaceae.
AUGGCUCAGGACGAACGCUGGCGGCGUGCUUAACACAUGCAAGUCGAACGGAAAGGCCCAGCUUGCUGGGUACUCGAGUGGCGAACGGGUGAGUAACACGUGGGUGAUCUGCCCCUGACUUUGGGAUAAGCCUGGGAAACUGGGUCUAAUACCGAAUAUUCAUUUUUCCUCGCAUGGGGAUUUGUGGAAAGCUUUUGCGGUUGGGGAUGGGCCCGCGGCCUAUCAGCUUGUUGGUGGGGUAAUGGCCUACCAAGGCGACGACGGGUAGCCGACCUGAGAGGGUGAUCGGCCACACUGGGACUGAGACACGGCCCAGACUCCUACGGGAGGCAGCAGUGGGGAAUAUUGCACAAUGGGCGCAAGCCUGAUGCAGCGACGCCGCGUGAGGGAUGACGGCCUUCGGGUUGUAAACCUCUUUCAGCUCCGACGAAGCGCAAGUGACGGUAGGAGCAGAAGAAGCACCGGCCAACUACGUGCCAGCAGCCGCGGUAAUACGUAGGGUGCAAGCGUUGUCCGGAAUUACUGGGCGUAAAGAGCUCGUAGGCGGUUUGUCGCGUCGUCUGUGAAAUUCUGCAGCUUAACUGCAGGCGUGCAGGCGAUACGGGCAGACUUGAGUACUACAGGGGAGACUGGAAUUCCUGGUGUAGCGGUGAAAUGCGCAGAUAUCAGGAGGAACACCGGUGGCGAAGGCGGGUCUCUGGGUAGUAAC